This 468-nucleotide ribosomal RNA is filed under the name uncultured bacterium. RNAcentral describes it as "partial 16S ribosomal RNA". It matches the Rfam family "Bacterial small subunit ribosomal RNA", at positions 28 to 507 of the family's 1533-position model. The record is from RNAcentral.
GACGAACGCUGGCGGCGCGCCUAACACAUGCAAGUCGAACGGAGCUGCGAGAAGCUUGCUUUUCUUAGCUUAGUGGCGCACGGGUGAGUAACGCGUGAGUAACCUGCCCUGGCGUGGGGGACAACAGUUGGAAACGACUGCUAAUACCGCAUAAGCCCACGAUCCGGCAUCGGAUUGAGGGAAAAGGAUUUAUUCGCUUCAGGAUGGACUCGCGUCCAAUUAGCUAGUUGGUGAGGUAACGGCCCACCAAGGCGACGAUUGGUAGCCGGACUGAGAGGUUGAACGGCCACAUUGGGACUGAGACACGGCCCAGACUCCUACGGGAGGCAGCAGUGGGGGAUAUUGCACAAUGGGGGAAACCCUGAUGCAGCGACGCCGCGUGGAGGAAGAAGGUUUUCGGAUUGUAAACUCCUGUCGUUAGGGACGAUAAUGACGGUACCUAACAAGAAAGCACCGGCUAACUACGUG